AUGAGAAUGUCCUUAAAUUGAUAAAGGGUAAUCAACCCAAAUUUUAUACUAAAUAAAGUAGUUAAUAGAGAAUUGUAAGGGAAAUUUAUUUAAGAUGAAAAUAAGAAAAGAAAGGCUGUCCACAUUGCUUUGGUUCAAUAUAAUAUUCCAAGUCCUGACUACCACCAAUAUCCAAAGAAAUGCUGAAGCAGGAACAAAGCUUUAAAGCUUUAUAGAAAAGAGGGGAACUGUGCCAUUAUUUACAGAUAAUAUUGUCAUACACAUAGAAAGUUAACAGAGUAAAUAGACAAACUAUGACUACUAAGCAAGUAUUUCAGCAAUGCCGCUAAAUCUGAAUGAUUUAUCUGAUGAAAGGAAAAUGCUAAUGAUGUCAAUUAUAUUAGUAAUUUUUAUUCUAUUAUAAUCAAAAUGUUAACAGAAAUUUGUAACCAAUUCAAUAUUUUGUUUUUAAAUUUGAUUUUAUUAUUUGUUGAGCUCUAUAAUUUAAUUUAAGUAAGACUAGUGAAGAGAUAAGGAAGGAAUAGUAUUACACUACCAGGUAAAAGAAACUUACCACCAAGCUAUGAAAAAUAAAACAAGCAAAUGACAAUGCACAAAAAAAUGAGCAAUAAAAACAUAUAUGGAAAUCUUGCUGCAGGUACAGAGGCAAGCCCAAGUAAAUGAACCAAAACUCAAACUAGUUUGCUUUCAAAAAUGCAAAUGUAAAACAGUAAGCUAUCACUCUAAAUUUAUGGGAUGGGUAUAAAAAUGUGGAUACUAUCAAGUGUUAGUGAAAACAUUAAGACUGAGAAGAUUCAUACAUUGCAUCUCUUCUGUAAUCCAGCAAUGCCACAUUAUGGGGUAAAUUCCAGAGAAACUCUUACAGAUUCCUAAGUGAGUAUGUUCAGUGUUAUUUAUUAUGCCUUUUUUUAAAAGUGAGGUGCUAGAGGCACUGAAUGCGUCUGCACUAGGAGGAUGGAUAUUAUGUCCUCUUAAUAAAUACUAAGAGUUACUAUCGGGCAUUUAGACAUAAUAAAAUAAAUGCACUCAAGCUAGCAUGUAUUCAUUCUGAAAAAUUAUGUCAAAUUAAAAAUGUAAAUUGCAGAAUAAAACUUGUGAUGAAAUAACAUCUAUAUUAAUUUAAAACAAAUCCACAGAAAUAUACAUUUUACAAAGAUACAUAUCCAAUAAUAUUUACUUUUGCUUACCUGAGAAAAAGUGGCUCAUCUACUUGCACUUGAGGUCUAAUAAACAAAUUGAUACUAAAAUAAAAAUAAGAUAAUAUUAGGUAUGCUUAGAAAAAUCAGUAAAUAAUAUGUUCCUUGGACUUGGUGUUUGGUAUAGGAAAGGAAGUAUUACAGUGAGGAUGGGUGGUAUUCUGACUGUGAAAGUGUGUAUGUACUAAAGAAUCUAGACUAAAAUAGGAACUCCAGCCUAUGAAAUUGUGCUGUGCAGAACAGGAACCCAUAUGAUUUAGAUACGUAUUUUCAGUACAAGUUUGGAUUUCUAGUAUAUUUCACAUUUGUUGAAAUGCCCAGACUAUUUAUCUCUCUCUUAGAGGUCACAAUCUAUAUUUACAAACUAAAAGCUCUUAGAAAUCCUAUUGCAAUAAAAUGGUUUAUUUGGUUUAUUCCUGGAUUUCUUAAAUAUAGUUAGUUAAUUAUGAUUUUGUUCACUGAAUAACCAAUGUUAUCUUCCUAAAUAGAUGUAUUUUGUAAAUAAAAUUUAUGCAUCACUAUUGGAAUCGAUAGACAUUACUAUUAGAAUCAAUAGAGAAACUGAGGAUUUUAAAGACAUGAAGGGAUAUGAUCAAAUCUAAUAUAAUUUUCUUCCUUGUAAUAGGAUCAUAUUCAGGAUAUCACCAUCUAUUUAUUGAGCAUCUACACUGCACAUAGCUCCGUGAUGAGCAUAAUUGGGAAUAAAGCAGUAGGAUAAGUCACAGACCUUGUUCACACAGAGCUAAUUGGAGAGAUAAAUUUAACACACUGAGAUAAUUAGGUGAUGUGACCUACCACAUAUGACAGUAUGUAAAGGAAGAGGCAAAGUGUGGGGAAGCUGUCAAUUGACAUUCAGAAAAGAGAAAAGGUCAAGGAAGUUCAGAUGGCUGGAGAAAUCAAUGUGCAAGAAGUUGAGCUUGUUUUUUUAGGAUUAGUUCCCCAUUGAGAAGAGGGCAUUUGUGAAACAAUGAUUGUUCACAUAGGUUAUUGCAGUAGUCUAUGUCUACUCUGUCUCCAAUCUUCUUCUCCGUCAAUUUUUGGAAAUCUCUAUUAUCAAGUAAACAUCCUAAAACAUCACAUCCUAGAAUGGCCAAGAUCCUAAAAUGGCCUCCUAAUCAUGUAAAUUUCUGUGGAUUUAAAACAAAUCCACAGAAAUAUACAUUUUACGAGGAUACAUAUCCAAGAAUAUUUAUUUUUGCUUAUUUGAAUUUUGCUCUUUGUAGUCGUUUUUAAUUUGGUUCAGUAUAUAAUUGUAGAGUUUGUGGGUGUUUCAGGUUUUCCUGGAGCAUAUAUCCUACUCAAAAGAAACUUCUAGGCUGGUUUUAAGGUCGAUGAUGGAGAAGAAUGGCCUUGUUAUAUUAAUCAAUGACCUCCAUGCCAAUGUAAUUCACCCUAGCUUACUCAUCCAAAUCCUCUCCCUUUCCUUUUGUCAAAAUAAGAUUCUCUCCUUCAAUGGCCUUUGCUGAAGACACUCAGAAAUGUCCUUCUUCCUAUUAGUACCUAACUACAGACACUAUAUUUAUCCUUAGGUUCUCAUCACAGUAUUGGGCACAGAGAUCAGAUGUUAAACCCCCAGGAGUUAAGCAGCCUUCUCAUAAAAGUGGCAAAGUGUGUUGAGUGAGUUAUGUUACAAAUAAAGAAAAUAGUCCUAAAAGGUUAAUAUGUUGGAGAUGAAAAAGAAUCAAGCUAGUUCAACAUCUAUAUUGUCUUUAGAUAACAAUGGCUAUUGAGGGGGUGGGAAACGAAUAAAAUAGUAACUCAAUUCCAAGUAAGCAUUUAUUUGUCAUGUUUAUUGAACACGGAAAUGAUUGAGUACUUUGAGGAAAAUAAAGAUUUAUCUGACACAGUCCUUAGAUUGUAAUCCUUUAAGUUACAGUGACCUGUUUAGUGUCAUCCUCUGUAAAAGAAACUUGCUCUCAAACUGGACUCCACAGAUGCUAACAGUUGGUGAGGCUAACAAUCAUGAAUGAAGAGAAAAAUCAGCACACGUUGCCACAGAUCUUUCAUCAUCACUAUCACUGACAUCACUUUAUCUUACUUCCCAAUAUUUUUUUGUUUGAUGUAUCAAGGUAUCAAGUAAACCACAGUUGAAGGAAACGUUUUUGUUUGGCUUAACAACAAUUAGCCCAACAUUUUUCAGAAAUCUCUUCUAGCUUGUAAGUAUGAAUAUCUUCUAUUCACUCAAAAAGAUGCACAUUUUAAUAUGACCACAUUUUCUGUGACCAAAAUAAAUAAGAAAAUUGGAAAAUAAUUUUGAAGUUUGUUAAAUGGAGUAAAGACAAUACUGGAAUUUUUUUCUCAAUAAAAAGAAUGUAGAAUCUUUGUUCUAUAACAAUUUGUCUAUCUCAUCAGGAAG
This 3552-nucleotide long non-coding RNA is filed under the name Homo sapiens (human). Its description in RNAcentral is "HSALNT0232090". Lineage: Eukaryota; Metazoa; Chordata; Mammalia; Primates; Hominidae. The record is from RNAcentral.